This 74-nucleotide ribosomal RNA is filed under the name Clostridium sp. RNAcentral describes it as "partial 16S ribosomal RNA". It matches the Rfam family "Bacterial small subunit ribosomal RNA", at positions 1 to 74 of the family's 1533-position model. Lineage: Bacteria; Bacillati; Bacillota; Clostridia; Eubacteriales; Clostridiaceae. The record is from RNAcentral.
UUUAUUGAGAGUUUGAUCCUGGCUCAGGACGAACGCUGGCGGCGUGCCUAACACAUGCAAGUCGAGCGAGGAGA